RNAcentral lists this ribosomal RNA (468 nucleotides) under uncultured bacterium. RNAcentral's name for it is "partial 16S ribosomal RNA". It matches the Rfam family "Bacterial small subunit ribosomal RNA", at positions 28 to 507 of the family's 1533-position model. The record is from RNAcentral.
GACGAACGCUGGCGGCGUGCUUAACACAUGCAAGUCGAACGGAAAGGCCCUGCUUUUGUGGGGUGCUCGAGUGGCGAACGGGUGAGUAACACGUGAGUAACCUGCCCUUGACUUUGGGAUAACUUCAGGAAACUGGGGCUAAUACCGGAUAGGAGCUCCUGCUGCAUGGUGGGGGUUGGAAAGUUUCGGCGGUUGGGGAUGGACUCGCGGCUUAUCAGCUUGUUGGUGGGGUAGUGGCUUACCAAGGCUUUGACGGGUAGCCGGCCUGAGAGGUUGAACGGCCACAUUGGGACUGAGAUACGGCCCAGACUCCUACGGGAGGCAGCAGUGGGGAAUAUUGCACAAUGGGCGGAAGCCUGAUGCAGCAACGCCGCGUGCGGGAUGACGGCCUUCGGGUUGUAAACCGCUUUCGCCUGUGACGAAGCGUGAGUGACGGUAAUGGGUAAAGAAGCACCGGCUAACUACGUG